Molecule: ribosomal RNA, 264 nt
Filed under: Enterobacter hormaechei
Lineage: Bacteria; Pseudomonadati; Pseudomonadota; Gammaproteobacteria; Enterobacterales; Enterobacteriaceae
Also listed under: 1 other name
Description: partial 23S ribosomal RNA
Rfam family: Bacterial large subunit ribosomal RNA
Source: RNAcentral
AUCGUACCCCAAACCGACACAGGUGGUCAGGUAGAGAAUACCAAGGCGCUUGAGAGAACUCGGGUGAAGGAACUAGGCAAAAUGGUGCCGUAACUUCGGGAGAAGGCACGCUGAUAGGUAGGUGAAGUCCCUGCGGACGGAGCUGAAAUCAGUCGAAGAUACCAGCUGGCUGCAACUGUUUAUUAAAAACACAGCACUGUGCAAACACGAAAGUGGACGUAUACGGUGUGACGCCUGCCCGGUGCCGGAAGGUUAAUUGAUGGG